This is a long non-coding RNA of Perognathus longimembris pacificus (Pacific pocket mouse), 579 nucleotides long. RefSeq lists it as uncharacterized. NCBI's taxonomy places the organism in Eukaryota, Metazoa, Chordata, Mammalia, Rodentia, Heteromyidae. The transcript has 3 exons. The record is from RefSeq and is a predicted model, not a curated record.
GAGAGAGAGAGAGAGAGAGAGAGAGAGAGAAUAAAGUAGGGUUCUUUUACUGUGGGUGUAACACAAUGAGAAGCAGCUGUGAGUCAGGGCCAGGGAACACAUCCCAGUCAGGGUGGGAAAAUGCAUUGUUGUUAAAUUCAGCCAAGCGUGCCCCUAGGGAGCUGGGUCCUCACAGAAUGACUGUGGGACUUUUCCUCAGGGAAAAGCAGGUCACUUGGUCAUGGAGCAGUGCCUUUCCGUGAGCAAACACUUCAAUGUGAACAUGUUAGUCCCUUUGCAGACAGACAGCUCGUGUUCAGUGAAGACGCAGGAAGGAGUGAUCAAUCUGGGAAGCCUUUGAACAAAGUCCUGGGACGAGCCCGAGUGGAGCACAGGUGGGCAUCGGAAGGUAGGAGCUGUGUAUGGAUGAAUGGGUUCCAUCCAGGCAGCUUCCACAGCCCCAGAACCUCAUGAGAACAGAGACAGUCAGCAAGCGAGACCCAGCAGGCUCUGCAUUAAGCCGCCUGGUGCCUGGACAUUUCAGCCUCUACCCACAGGAGCGAAGCGACACCAGCAAGCUGGGCAGGGGCACAGGAGAAG